CGGUGAAAUAGCAGCUACAUUUUUGGACAUUCUCAGGCUGAAAAUCAGACUACGGAGAAUUGUCUUGAAAUCUUAAUCAGAAAUUGAAGCCCAAUAAUAUAGGCAAUUUGUACAUGCGAUCAUGCUGCAUUUGAUGAUGUGAAGGAAAACUUUAAAAUUGUAGGAUGCACUGGUGUUUGCCGAUUUC
Populus euphratica (Euphrates poplar) is the source of this 187-nucleotide long non-coding RNA. RefSeq lists it as uncharacterized. The record is from RefSeq and is a predicted model, not a curated record. Lineage: Eukaryota; Viridiplantae; Streptophyta; Magnoliopsida; Malpighiales; Salicaceae. The transcript has 2 exons.